RNAcentral lists this transfer RNA (73 nucleotides) under Protohalopteris sp. Its description in RNAcentral is "tRNA-Asp". It matches the Rfam family "tRNA". From Rfam's summary of the family: Transfer RNA (tRNA) molecules are approximately 80 nucleotides in length. Their secondary structure includes four short double-helical elements and three loops (D, anti-codon, and T loops). Lineage: Eukaryota; Phaeophyceae; Sphacelariales; Stypocaulaceae. The record is from RNAcentral.
GGAAAUGUAGCUCAGUUGGUGGAGUGUUGGCUUGUCACGCCAAAGGUCGCGGGUUCAAGUCCCGUCUUUUUCG